RNAcentral lists this ribosomal RNA (916 nucleotides) under uncultured bacterium. RNAcentral's name for it is "bacterial SSU rRNA". It matches the Rfam family "Bacterial small subunit ribosomal RNA", at positions 21 to 893 of the family's 1533-position model. The record is from RNAcentral.
GGCUCAGGAUGAACGUAAGCGGCGUGCUUGAUCCAUGCAAGUCGAACGGGCUGGCUAGGGGUGGAAGUCUUGGAGGGGGCGGAAGGUGAGAAAUCAUUGGAAGUCUCCAAAGGGGCAGAGACCUCGGUGCCGGUCAGUGGCGGACGGGUUAGUAACACGUAGGUAAUCUACCCAUAGGUGGGGAAUAACUGUUCGAAAGGACAGCUAAUACCGCAUAAUAUCGAGCGCAAGCUUGAAGAAAGGGGCGCAAGCCUCGCCUUAGGAUGAGCCUGCGGCCGAUUAGCUAGUUGGCGGGGUAAUGGCCCACCAAGGCGAUGAUCGGUAGCUGGUCUGAGAGGACGAUCAGCCACACUGGAACUGACACACGGUCCAGACUCCUACGGGGGGCAGCAGGAAGGAAUAUUGCACAAUGGGCGGAAGCCUGAUGCAGCGACGCCGCGUGAGCGAAGAAGGCCUUCGGGUCGUAAAGCUCUUUUCCGGGGGAAGAGGAAGGACGGUACCUCGGGAAUAAGUCUCGGCUAACUACGUGCCAGCAGCCGCGGUAAAACGUAGGAGGCGAGCGUUAUCCGGAAUUACUGGGCGUAAAGGGCAAGUAGGUGGUAGCCAAAGUUGGGUGUGACAAAUCUCGGCUCAACUGAGAAGGGACGCUCAAAACUAGGUUACUAGAGGGCAGGAGAGGGGAGCGGAAUUCCUAAUGUAGCGGUGGAAUGCUCAGAUAUUAGGAAGAACACCAGUGGCGAAGGCGGCUCUCUGGCCUGUACCUGACGCUGAGAGGCGAAAGCUAGGGGAGCGAACGGGCUUAGAUACCCCGGUAGUCCUAGCCGUAAACAUUGGAUACUGGGUAUUGGGGGGUUAAAUCUCCGCAGUGCCGAAGCGAACGCGUUAAGUAUCCCGCCUGGGGACUACGGCCGCAAGG